CUCGUUCCUGCACUACCGUACUCCUGACGUCUACCUCCCGUGUACCGACCAACGCCUGUCUCCCGACCUACCCCCAUCUGCAGGAGAUUUGAGCAGGGAAACACAGUGGUCUGUAAUUGCAAGAGUCGAGGUCAUUUAAUGCCGUUCUCCUGGAGGAGAGGUUCUGAGUACUGGUGUUCUCAUAAGAGCGAGGUUGGGUCUGAAUCCCACUGUCCUCCCACCUGAAGCAAACAUGGCUUAUUUAUUCAUAAAUUGCUAAUAGGAGUUUUGUUUGGUUUCCGAGCAUCAGGCCGAAAAAGCAAUGGCAAGUCCUCUAGUGAGAAAAAAUUCCCUCGCAGACAGGCUAUAUGGGAAGCAAGUACCAUUUGCAGUGUUCCAUCAAGAAGCCAGCCACCACUUGCAUUGUUUUUUGCCACAUGGUAAGUCCUGCUUUCAUGAACUCAGUCUUGUGUUUACAAUUUGGGGUCCUAACAAGUGCAUA
This is a long non-coding RNA of Syngnathoides biaculeatus (alligator pipefish), 481 nucleotides long. RefSeq lists it as uncharacterized. The transcript has 4 exons. The record is from RefSeq and is a predicted model, not a curated record. NCBI's taxonomy places the organism in Eukaryota, Metazoa, Chordata, Actinopteri, Syngnathiformes, Syngnathidae.